Molecule: unclassified non-coding RNA, 402 nt
Filed under: soil metagenome
Description: partial contains 5.8S ribosomal RNA, internal transcribed spacer 2, and large subunit ribosomal RNA
Rfam family: 5.8S ribosomal RNA (bases 1-121)
Source: RNAcentral
GAUGAAGAACGUAGUGAAAUGCGAUAAGUAAUGUGAAUUGCAGAAUUCAGUGAAUCAUCGAAUCUUUGAACGCACCUUGCGCCCUUUGGCUAUUCCGAAGGGCAUGCCUGUUUGAGUAUCAUGAACACCUCAACUCUCAUGGCUUGCCAUGAUGAGCUUGGACUAUGGGGGUCUUGCUGGCCUGUGGUCGGCUCCUCUCAAAUGAAUCAGCUUGCCAGUGUUUGGUGGCAUCACAGGUGUGAUAACUAUCUACGCUUGUGGUUUUCCACCAGGUAACCUUCAGCAAUGGAGGUUCGCUGGGGCUCAUAAAUGUCUCUCCUCAGCGAGGACAGCUCUUUGAACGUUUGAUCUCAAAUCAGGUAGGACUACCCGCUGAACUUAAGCAUAUCAAUAAGCGGAGGA